Molecule: long non-coding RNA, 1552 nt
Filed under: Linum usitatissimum (flax)
Lineage: Eukaryota; Viridiplantae; Streptophyta; Magnoliopsida; Malpighiales; Linaceae
Description: long non-coding RNA (LUSI_LNC006987)
Source: RNAcentral
ACCCUUCAAAAUUUGGUUCAUAUCUUUGUGCUACUUUUUGUUAUAAACAAAAGUAACACAAAGAGGGGCAACUAUAGUAACAAAAUUUGUCCGGGCUUUCUUGUUUUUAAUUCCGUAGCCUUAUUCUACGUCGAAAUGUCAGUGCUUUUCGGGCCCGAUUUCAAUCCCGAUUUUGGGGCCCAAUUUCGGGCCCUUACUGUUAUUAAUUAAGAGGCUGGCACCUCUUAUUUUUUUGUUAGACACAUUGUAAUUUGUGGUUGGAGAAAAGGGGAGGUGGCAGCCCCAUUUUUUGAUUUAAAUGGACAGUCAAAGAUGGAGGAGAGGAGAGGAGAUUUGGAGAGGUUGAAGUUUUCCCAACCCUACUAAAAAAUCAAACACAACUCAGUCCAAAAGUCCUAAAAGUUACUACAACAACUUACAAAAAAGCACUAAAACUAAACACUAAGGCCCAUAUCUUGUCAUCAUUCGCAAAGAACCACUACCUGAAACACGACAAAAAAAGAAGCUUCAGAUUAAACGUAACCAUUCAAACUCGCAUAUUCAAAACCAUUUACGUAUCAUUCAUGCAUAGGCAUUGUUUUGCUUAUACCCUAAACUCCCUUAAAAUCUAAUGUUCAAGUGAAAGUUCCUUUUUAAUCAACAACCAAUAAGUCAAUGAAAUAAACCUCUGAAAUCAACUAAAGAUCACAGGAGAAAGUACUAGCGAAAGAAACCUAUAGCCGUCGUUUAUCAUUUUUGCACAAAGAACCUAAAGAACUAUGACAUUCGCCAAAACACAAAUUAUUCUACUAAACAAGUUGCUGGAUUUUUUUUAAUAUUAGCUAAAAGUCAAGUUUUUUUUUUAAAUAGAACUUUGUUAAAAUAUUUAAACUACUAUUGUAAUCCAAAACACAGAACUAAGUCAGUUCCCUUGGUAGCUUAUCAAGAAACAGAAAUCAACAAAAAAUAAACUAAAUCCCUCUUUUACCUAGCUCCUUUCUCUCUAUCUCUACUUCUCCAUUGCUGUCGUCGAUAUUCGCCCCUAACCAAGAAACCAAAAACAGAGCAAAUUAGAUCCAAAAAAUAAAUAAGAAAGGGUUUCAACUCUAGAUUUAUAGAUCGGGACUUGCAUGUCGCCGGAGGACCCGCCGGAAUCUCCGACGACGACAUGUAAUCCCGGAUCUGGGUUAAACAAGAGAGAAACAAAAAAGAAAAUUUCAGAGAUAUUUUUACCUUUUCUUUCUCGUUGUUGAUGUCUGAGGACGAAGAGGACGAGGAGAAAGGAAGGGGAAGAAUAAAAAGAAACGGAAAUGGGAGGAGAAGAGGAAGUGUCGCCGCCGUCGAGAGGGAAAAAGAGAGGAAGAAGAGGAAGGAGAGGAGAAGGAAAAGAAGAGAAGAAGAAAAAGAAAAAAAAAAGGAGGAGAAGAGGAAGCGUCGCAACGACAGCGACGGCCGAGAGGAAGAAGAAGAGAAGAGAGGAGAGUUAGAGAGAGGGGAGAGGUUUUAGAGAGAAAUCCGACAGAAUUGAGAGUAGAGGAAGGGAGAAGAGAGAGUGGGAGGUUGUAAAAUGGCC